Molecule: long non-coding RNA, 570 nt
Organism: Etheostoma spectabile (orangethroat darter)
Lineage: Eukaryota; Metazoa; Chordata; Actinopteri; Perciformes; Percidae
Exons: 2
Source: RefSeq, a predicted model, not a curated record
CCACAGCAGCAGGUACCACACGCAAGCAAGUAACCACAGCAGCAGGUACCACAGCAGCCGGUACCACAGCAGCAGGUACCACAGCAGCAGGUACCACAGCAGCAGGUACCACAGCAGGAGGUACCACAGCAGGAGGUACCACAGCAGCAGGUACCACAGCAGCAGGUACCACAGCAGGAGGUACCACAGCAGCACCUACCACAGCAACUACCGUAGCGACUACCAACACAACUACAAAUCGACCACCUCCUCCGCCCUCAUCAACCAAAUCAGUCUCAUCUCCAUUGUCGUGGCUGUGCUGACACCUGUUCUCUACUCAGGUUGCUGAAGGUGUUAAGUGCAGUUCUCAUCCUGUGCAUGAAUCACUGAAAAUGGAAGGAUUUUGGUUCAUACAAUGUAAGCUGAUAUGCUAAGUGCUGGUUUACUGAUGCGUGUUUGCACACUGGACCUUGUUGGAGGUGUUGAGAAUUAAUCCAAAUGCCUGUUGAUAACUACCGUUGUUUUGAUUCAGAGGCCAGUGAGUGAAUCUGUCUAAUAUAUUAAAAUUAACUUAUGUAUGCAUCACCUGAU